This 253-nucleotide ribosomal RNA is filed under the name uncultured bacterium. RNAcentral describes it as "partial 16S ribosomal RNA". It matches the Rfam family "Bacterial small subunit ribosomal RNA", at positions 524 to 776 of the family's 1533-position model. The record is from RNAcentral.
UACGAAGGGGGCUAGCGUUGCUUGGAAUCACUGGGCGUAAAGGGUGCGUAGGCGGGUCUUUAAGUCAGGGGUGAAAUCCUGGAGCUCAACUCCAGAACUGCCUUUGAUACUGAAGAUCUUGAGUUCGGGAGAGGUGAGUGGAACUGCGAGUGUAGAGGUGAAAUUCGUAGAUAUUCGCAAGAACACCAGUGGCGAAGGCGGCUCACUGGCCCGAUACUGACGCUGAGGCGCGACAGCGUGGGGAGCAAACAGG